Molecule: ribosomal RNA, 483 nt
Filed under: uncultured bacterium
Lineage: Bacteria
Description: partial 16S ribosomal RNA
Rfam family: Bacterial small subunit ribosomal RNA
Source: RNAcentral
GACGAACGCUGGCGGCGUGCUUAACACAUGCAAGUCGAACGCUGAAGCUCAGCUUUUGUUGGGUGGAUGAGUGGCGAACGGGUGAGUAACACGUGAGUAACCUGCCUCCUUCUUUGGGAUAACGCCCGGAAACGGGUGCUAAUACUGGAUAUUCACUGGUCUUCGCAUGGGGGUUGGUGGAAAGGGUUUUUCUGGUGGGGGAUGGGCUCGCGGCCUAUCAGCUUGUUGGUGGGGUGAUGGCCUACCAAGGCUGUGACGGGUAGCCGGCCUGAGAGGGUGACCGGUCACAUUGGGACUGAGAUACGGCCCAGACUCCUACGGGAGGCAGCAGUGGGGAAUAUUGCACAAUGGGCGAAAGCCUGAUGCAGCGACGCCGCGUGAGGGAUGGAGGCCUUCGGGUUGUGAACCUCUUUCGCUCAUGGUCAAGCCGCAACAAUGGUUGUGGUGAGGGUAGUGGGUAAAGAAGCGCCGGCUAACUACGUG